AACGAACGCUGGCGGCAUGCCUAACACAUGCAAGUCGAACGAGACCUUCGGGUCUAGUGGCGCACGGGUGCGUAACGCGUGGGAACCUGCCCUUAGGUUUGGAAUAACUCCCCGAAAGGGGUGCGAAUACCGGAUAAUGUCUUCGGACCAAAGAUUUAUCGCGUUUGGAUGGGCCCGCGUUGGAUUAGCUAGUUGGUAGGGUAAAAGCCUACCAAGGCGACGAUCCAUAGCUGGUCUGAGAGGAUGAUCAGCCACACUGGGACUGAGACACGGCCCAGACUCCUACGGGAGGCAGCAGUGGGGAAUAUUGGACAAUGGGCGAAAGCCUGAUCCAGCAAUGCCGCGUGAGUGAUGAAGGCCUUAGGGUUGUAAAGCUCUUUUACCCGGGAUGAUAAUGACAGUACCGGGAGAAUAAGCUCCGGCUAACUCCGUG
Molecule: ribosomal RNA, 433 nt
Filed under: uncultured bacterium
Lineage: Bacteria
Description: partial 16S ribosomal RNA
Rfam family: Bacterial small subunit ribosomal RNA
Source: RNAcentral